UACAGAGGGUGCGAGCGUUGUCCGGAUUCAUUGGGCGUAAAGGGUGCGUAGGCGGCGCGGUAAGUCGGGUGUGAAAUCUCGGAGCUUAACUCCGAAACUGCAUUCGAUACUGCCGUGCUUGAGGACUGGAGAGGAGACUGGAAUUUACGGUGUAGCGGUGAAAUGCGUAGAUAUCGUAAGGAAGACCAGUGGCGAAGGCGGGUCUCUGGACAGUUCCUGACGCUGAGGCACGAAGGUCAGGGGAGCAAACGGG
This 253-nucleotide ribosomal RNA is filed under the name uncultured bacterium. RNAcentral describes it as "partial 16S ribosomal RNA". It matches the Rfam family "Bacterial small subunit ribosomal RNA", at positions 524 to 776 of the family's 1533-position model. The record is from RNAcentral.